GUUCCUAGAAAAUCUAAGUAAUCUAAGAAAUGGCACACUUUCUUUUUCUCUCCUUUCUUUGUUGCAGUAUAUAUUCAGAAUCUUUCAUGCAUCAUAUAUAAUAUUUCUUUUUUCAAUUGCACCUGGCAUAUUAAAGCAGAAGAUCCUGCAGAUGUCCAGUAUUUUUUUUCAUACAGACACACAGAAAAAUAUUUUGAGUGCCAGCAAUAUAUAAGAAAUGCAAGAAAUAAAAAUAUUGGAUGCCACAUGAAAGAUAUAUCUUUCCAACCAGUAAGGAAAAUAAUUUUAAACAUAUCUGUAGUAGAUCUGAGAAAUAAUUCAAGAAGACUGUCUUAUUAUAAAGGUUUUACACCUCAGAAAAUAGAGAAACUGAACCCACCGAUCAACGUCUCUGUUUCCCUUGAAAACAGAAGUAUUAAAAUUCACUGGAAACCCCCGCCUACCAUUGGUUCAGGAGAAAAAAAGUGCUUUAAGUAUCAAGUGAAAAUAACAGACAGUAAGAUUGUAGAUGUCACUGAAGAGAAAUACGAGUAUCUUCUUCUUAGACCAGCAAAAAAAUGUACUGCACAAGUGAGGGCCAAGAAAGAGGUAUGCAUAACAAACAAGAUUUGGAGUGAUUGGAGUGAACCAGUGAUUAUUUAUGACGUUACAGCUGUGAAGGGGUGA
This 666-nucleotide long non-coding RNA is filed under the name Chrysolophus pictus (golden pheasant). RNAcentral describes it as "lncRNA (ENSCPIG00010004541.1)". The record is from RNAcentral. Lineage: Eukaryota; Metazoa; Chordata; Aves; Galliformes; Phasianidae.